GGGGCGUUAGCUCAGCCGGUUAGAGCAGGGGACUCAUAAUCCCUUGGUCGUGGGUUCAAGUCCCACACGCCCUACCU
This 77-nucleotide transfer RNA is filed under the name Sinomonas sp. R1AF57. Its description in RNAcentral is "tRNA-Met". It matches the Rfam family "tRNA". From Rfam's summary of the family: Transfer RNA (tRNA) molecules are approximately 80 nucleotides in length. Their secondary structure includes four short double-helical elements and three loops (D, anti-codon, and T loops). Further hydrogen bonds mediate the characteristic L-shaped molecular structure. tRNAs have two regions of fundamental functional importance: the anti-codon, which is responsible for specific mRNA codon recognition, and the 3' end, to which the tRNAs corresponding amino acid is attached (by aminoacyl-tRNA synthetases). tRNAs cope with the degeneracy of the genetic code in two manners: having more than one tRNA (with a specific anti-codon) for a particular amino acid; and 'wobble' base-pairing, i.e. permitting non-standard base-pairing at the 3rd anti-codon position. The record is from RNAcentral. Lineage: Bacteria; Bacillati; Actinomycetota; Actinomycetes; Micrococcales; Micrococcaceae.